RNAcentral lists this unclassified non-coding RNA (171 nucleotides) under soil metagenome. RNAcentral describes it as "partial internal transcribed spacer 1". The record is from RNAcentral.
CAGAGUUGCAAAACUCCCAACCAUUGUGAACCUACCUCACCGUUGCUUCGGCGGGUGGCCCGGGGCAACCCAGGCCGCGCCGGCCCCCUUCUUCGGGGGGCCCGGCAAGCCCGUCAGAGGACCGAAACCCUGUAAUUACUGGCCUCUCUGAGUAACUUAUACAAUAAGUCA